CUACGGGCGGCACCAGCAGCGGAACUUUUACAAUGCACGAAAGUGUGAUAAAGCAAGCCAAAGUGCUUAUCGUUUAGAUAAGCUUUUUUUAAUGUAAAAACUCAGAAGAAUAAGGACUGGGAAAGAUCGGUGCCAGCCGCCGCGGUAAUACCGACAGUUCAAGUUGCAUCCUAUUUUAUUGGGUCUAAAACAUCCGUAGCUUGGAGUUUAAGUCUCUUGUGAAAUCUCACGUCUCAAGCGUGGUGAAGUGCAGGAGAUACUGGGCUCCUAGAGAUCGGUAGACGUAAGGAGUACGCUGGGGGUAACGGUUAAAUGUGUUAAUCCUCAGUGGACUAACAAUCAGCGAAGGCACCUUACGAGGACGAAUCUGACAGUGAGGGAUGAAGGCCAGGGGCGCAAAACGGAUUAGAUACCCUUGUAGUC
RNAcentral lists this ribosomal RNA (423 nucleotides) under uncultured archaeon. RNAcentral's name for it is "partial 16S ribosomal RNA". It matches the Rfam family "Archaeal small subunit ribosomal RNA", at positions 323 to 746 of the family's 1478-position model. The record is from RNAcentral.